This 2387-nucleotide ribosomal RNA is filed under the name Streptococcus pneumoniae. RNAcentral describes it as "bacterial LSU rRNA". It matches the Rfam family "Bacterial large subunit ribosomal RNA", at positions 524 to 2925 of the family's 2925-position model. The record is from RNAcentral. Lineage: Bacteria; Bacillati; Bacillota; Bacilli; Lactobacillales; Streptococcaceae.
CCCCGGGAGGGGAGUGAAAUAGAACCUGAAACCGUGUGCCUACAACAAGUUCGAGCCCGUUAAUGGGUGAGAGCGUGCCUUUUGUAGAAUGAACCGGCGAGUUACGUUAUGAUGCGAGGUUAAGUUGAAGAGACGGAGCCGUAGGGAAACCGAGUCUGAAUAGGGCGCCUUAGUAUCAUGACGUAGACCCGAAACCAUGUGACCUACCCAUGAGCAGGUUGAAGGUGCGGUAAGACGCACUGGAGGACCGAACCAGGGCACGUUGAAAAGUGCUUGGAUGACUUGUGGGUAGCGGAGAAAUUCCAAACGAACUUGGAGAUAGCUGGUUCUCUCCGAAAUAGCUUUAGGGCUAGCGUCGACAUUAGAGAUUCUUGGAGGUAGAGCACUGUUUGGGUGAGGGGUCCAUCCCGGAUUACCAAUCUCAGAUAAACUCCGAAUGCCAAUGAAUUAUGGUCGGCAGUCAGACUGCGAGUGCUAAGAUCCGUAGUCGAAAGGGAAACAGCCCAGACCACCAGCUAAGGUCCCAAAAUAAUUGUUAAGUGGAAAAGGAUGUGGGGUUGCACAGACAACUAGGAUGUUAGCUUAGAAGCAGCUAUUCAUUCAAAGAGUGCGUAAUAGCUCACUAGUCGAGUGACCCUGCGCCGAAAAUGUACCGGGGCUAAAACAAUUUACCGAAGCUGUGGAUACCUUUAUAGGUAUGGUAGGAGAGCGUUCUAUGUGUGAUGAAGGUAUACCGUGAGGAGUGCUGGAACGCAUAGAAGUGAGAAUGCCGGUAUGAGUAGCGAAAGACAGGUGAGAAUCCUGUCCACCGUAAGACUAAGGUUUCCAGGGGAAGGCUCGUCCGCCCUGGGUUAGUCGGGACCUAAGGAGAGACCGAAAGGUGUAUCCGAUGGACAACAGGUUGAUAUUCCUGUACUAGAGUAUGUAGUGAUGGAGGGACGCAGUAGGCUAACUAAAGCAGACGAUUGGAAGAGUCUGUCUAAGCAGUGAGGUGUGAUAUGAGUCAAAUGCUUAUAUCUGUAACAUUGAGCUGUGAUGGGGAGCGAAGUUUAGUAGCGAAGUUAGUGACGUCACACUGCCAAGAAAAGCUUCUAGCGUUUAAACAUACUCUACCCGUACCGCAAACCGACACAGGUAGUCGAGGCGAGUAGCCUCAGGUGAGCGAGAGAACUCUCGUUAAGGAACUCGGCAAAAUGACCCCGUAACUUCGGGAGAAGGGGUGCUGACUUUAAGUCAGCCGCAGUGAAUAGGCCCAAGCAACUGUUUAUCAAAAACACAGCUCUCUGCUAAAUCGUAAGAUGAUGUAUAGGGGGUGACGCCUGCCCGGUGCUGGAAGGUUAAGAGGAGUGCUUAGCGUAAGCGAAGGUAUGAAUUGAAGCCCCAGUAAACGGCGGCCGUAACUAUAACGGUCCUAAGGUAGCGAAAUUCCUUGUCGGGUAAGUUCCGACCCGCACGAAAGGCGUAAUGAUUUGGGCACUGUCUCAACGAGAGACUCGGUGAAAUUUUAGUACCUGUGAAGAUGCAGGUUACCCGCGACAGGACGGAAAGACCCCAUGGAGCUUUACUGCAGUUUGAUAUUGAGUGUCUGUACCACAUGUACAGGAUAGGUAGGAGUCUAAGAGAUCGGGACGCCAGUUUCGAAGGAGACGCUGUUGGGAUACUACCCUUGUGUUAUGGCCACUCUAACCCAGAUAGGUGAUCCCUAUCGGAGACAGUGUCUGACGGGCAGUUUGACUGGGGCGGUCGCCUCCUAAAAGGUAACGGAGGCGCCCAAAGGUUCCCUCAGAAUGGUUGGAAAUCAUUCGCAGAGUGUAAAGGUAUAAGGGAGCUUGACUGCGAGAGCUACAACUCGAGCAGGGACGAAAGUCGGGCUUAGUGAUCCGGUGGUUCCGUAUGGAAGGGCCAUCGCUCAACGGAUAAAAGCUACCCUGGGGAUAACAGGCUUAUCUCCCCCAAGAGUUCACAUCGACGGGGAGGUUUGGCACCUCGAUGUCGGCUCGUCGCAUCCUGGGGCUGUAGUCGGUCCCAAGGGUUGGGCUGUUCGCCCAUUAAAGCGGCACGCGAGCUGGGUUCAGAACGUCGUGAGACAGUUCGGUCCCUAUCCGUCGCGGGCGUAGGAAAUUUGAGAGGAUCUGCUCCUAGUACGAGAGGACCAGAGUGGACUUACCGCUGGUGUACCAGUUGUCUUGCCAAAGGCAUCGCUGGGUAGCUAUGUAGGGAAGGGAUAAACGCUGAAAGCAUCUAAGUGUGAAACCCACCUCAAGAUGAGAUUUCCCAUGAUUAUAUAUCAGUAAGAGCCCUGAGAGAUGAUCAGGUAGAUAGGUUAGAAGUGGAAGUGUGGCGACACAUGUAGCGGACUAAUACUAAUAGCUCGAGGACUUAUCCAA